RNAcentral lists this ribosomal RNA (404 nucleotides) under Fusobacteriota bacterium. Its description in RNAcentral is "Fusobacteria bacterium partial 16S ribosomal RNA". It matches the Rfam family "Bacterial small subunit ribosomal RNA", at positions 355 to 776 of the family's 1533-position model. The record is from RNAcentral. Lineage: Bacteria; Fusobacteriati; Fusobacteriota.
UGGGGAAUAUUGCACAAUGGUGGGAACUCUGAUGCAGCGACGCCGCGUGAGUGAUGAAGGAAUUCGUUUCGUAAAACUCUGUUCUAUGGGAAGAAAAGGACUGUACCAUAGGAGAAAGCUCCGGCUAAAUACGUGCCAGCAGCCGCGGUAAUACGUAUGUAGCGAGCGUUGUCCGGAAUUAUUGGGCGUAAAGGGUGCGCAGGCGGCUUUACAAGUUGGAUGUGAAAUAUUGUGGCUCAACCACAAACGUGCAUCCAAAACUGCAAAGCUUGAGUUAAGGAGAGGUAAGUGGAAUUCCUGGUGUAGCGGUGGAAUGCGUAGAUAUCAGGAGGAAUACCGGUGGCGAAGGCGACUUACUGGACUUAAACUGACGCUCAGGCACGAAAGCGUGGGGAGCAAACAGG